UUAAGUUAUUAAGGGCGCACGGUGGAUGCCUUGGCACUAGAAGCCGAUGAAGGACGUUACUAACGACGAUAUGCUUUGGGAAGCUGUAAGUAAGCUUUGAUCCAGAGAUUUCCGAAUGGGGAAACCCAGCAUGAGUUAUGUCAUGUUAUCGAUAUGUGAAUACAUAGCAUAUCAGAAGGCACACCCGGAGAACUGAAACAUCUUAGUACCCGGAGGAAGAGAAAGAAAAUUCGAUUCCCUUAGUAGCGGCGAGCGAAACGGGAAGAGCCCAAACCAACAAGCUUGCUUGUUGGGGUUGUAGGACACUCUAUACGGAGUUACAAAGGACGACAUUAGACGAAUCAUCUGGAAAGAUGAAUCAAAGAAGGUAAUAAUCCUGUAGUCGAAAAUGUUGUCUCUCUUGAGUGGAUCCUGAGUACGACGGAGCACGUGAAAUUCCGUCGGAAUCUGGGAGGACCAUCUCCUAAGGCUAAAUACUCUCUAGUGACCGAUAGUGAACCAGUACCGUGAGGGAAAGGUGAAAAGCACCCCGGAAGGGGAGUGAAAUAGAACCUGAAACCGUGUGCUUACAAGUAGUCAGAGCCCGUUAAUGGGUGAUGGCGUGCCUUUUGUAGAAUGAACCGGCGAGUUACGAUUUGAUGCAAGGUUAAGCAGUAAAUGUGGAGCCGUAGCGAAAGCGAGCCUGAAUAGGGCGUUUAGUAUUUGGUCGUAGACCCGAAACCAGGUGAUCUACCCUUGGUCAGGUUGAAGUUCAGGUAACACUGAAUGGAGGACCGAACCGACUUACGUUGAAAAGUGAGCGGAUGAACUGAGGGUAGCGGAGAAAUUCCAAUCGAACCUGGAGAUAGCUGGUUCUCUCCGAAAUAGCUUUAGGGCUAGCCUCAAGUGAUGAUUAUUGGAGGUAGAGCACUGUUUGGACGAGGGGCCCCUCUCGGGUUACCGAAUUCAGACAAACUCCGAAUGCCAAUUAAUUUAACUUGGGAGUCAGAACAUGGGUGAUAAGGUCCGUGUUCGAAAGGGAAACAGCCCAGACCACCAGCUAAGGUCCCAAAAUAUAUGUUAAGUGGAAAAGGAUGUGGCGUUGCCCAGACAACUAGGAUGUUGGCUUAGAAGCAGCCAUCAUUUAAAGAGUGCGUAAUAGCUCACUAGUCGAGUGACACUGCGCCGAAAAUGUACCGGGGCUAAACAUAUUACCGAAGCUGUGGAUUGUCCUUUGGACAAUGGUAGGAGAGCGUUCUAAGGGCGUUGAAGCAUGAUCGUAAGGACAUGUGGAGCGCUUAGAAGUGAGAAUGCCGGUGUGAGUAGCGAAAGACGGGUGAGAAUCCCGUCCACCGAUUGACUAAGGUUUCCAGAGGAAGGCUCGUCCGCUCUGGGUUAGUCGGGUCCUAAGCUGAGGCCGACAGGCGUAGGCGAUGGAUAACAGGUUGAUAUUCCUGUACCACCUAUAAUCGUUUUAAUCGAUGGGGGGGACGCAGUAGGAUAGGCGAAGCGUGCGAUUGGAUUGCACGUCUAAGCAGUAAGGCUGAGUAUUAGGCAAAUCCGGUACUCGUUAAGGCUGAGCUGUGAUGGGGAGAAGACAUUGUGUCUUCGAGUCGUUGAUUUCACACUGCCGAGAAAAGCCUCUAGAUAGAAAAUAGGUGCCCGUACCGCAAACCGACACAGGUAGUCAAGAUGAGAAUUCUAAGGUGAGCGAGCGAACUCUCGUUAAGGAACUCGGCAAAAUGACCCCGUAACUUCGGGAGAAGGGGUGCUCUUUAGGGUUAACGCCCAGAAGAGCCGCAGUGAAUAGGCCCAAGCGACUGUUUAUCAAAAACACAGGUCUCUGCUAAACCGUAAGGUGAUGUAUAGGGGCUGACGCCUGCCCGGUGCUGGAAGGUUAAGAGGAGUGGUUAGCUUCUGCGAAGCUACGAAUCGAAGCCCCAGUAAACGGCGGCCGUAACUAUAACGGUCCUAAGGUAGCGAAAUUCCUUGUCGGGUAAGUUCCGACCCGCACGAAAGGCGUAACGAUUUGGGCACUGUCUCAACGAGAGACUCGGUGAAAUCAUAGUACCUGUGAAGAUGCAGGUUACCCGCGACAGGACGGAAAGACCCCGUGGAGCUUUACUGUAGCCUGAUAUUGAAAUUCGGCACAGCUUGUACAGGAUAGGUAGGAGCCUUUGAAACGUGAGCGCUAGCUUACGUGGAGGCGCUGGUGGGAUACUACCCUAGCUGUGUUGGCUUUCUAACCCGCACCACUUAUCGUGGUGGGAGACAGUGUCAGGCGGGCAGUUUGACUGGGGCGGUCGCCUCCUAAAAGGUAACGGAGGCGCUCAAAGGUUCCCUCAGAAUGGUUGGAAAUCAUUCAUAGAGUGUAAAGGCAUAAGGGAGCUUGACUGCGAGACCUACAAGUCGAGCAGGGUCGAAAGACGGACUUAGUGAUCCGGUGGUUCCGCAUGGAAGGGCCAUCGCUCAACGGAUAAAAGCUACCCCGGGGAUAACAGGCUUAUCUCCCCCAAGAGUUCACAUCGACGGGGAGGUUUGGCACCUCGAUGUCGGCUCAUCGCAUCCUGGGGCUGUAGUCGGUCCCAAGGGUUGGGCUGUUCGCCCAUUAAAGCGGUACGCGAGCUGGGUUCAGAACGUCGUGAGACAGUUCGGUCCCUAUCCGUCGUGGGCGUAGGAAAUUUGAGAGGAGCUGUCCUUAGUACGAGAGGACCGGGAUGGACAUACCUCUGGUGUACCAGUUGUCGUGCCAACGGCAUAGCUGGGUAGCUAUGUGUGGACGGGAUAAGUGCUGAAAGCAUCUAAGCAUGAAGCCCCCCUCAAGAUGAGAUUUCCCAACUUCGGCUAUAAGAUCCCUCAAAGAUGAUGAGGUUAAUAGGUUCGAGGUGGAAGCAUGGUGACAUGUGGAGCUGACGAAUACUAAUCGAUCGAAGACUUAAUCAA
Molecule: ribosomal RNA, 2922 nt
Filed under: Staphylococcus aureus
Lineage: Bacteria; Bacillati; Bacillota; Bacilli; Caryophanales; Staphylococcaceae
Description: bacterial LSU rRNA
Rfam family: Bacterial large subunit ribosomal RNA
Source: RNAcentral